This 397-nucleotide ribosomal RNA is filed under the name uncultured bacterium. Its description in RNAcentral is "partial 16S ribosomal RNA". It matches the Rfam family "Bacterial small subunit ribosomal RNA", at positions 523 to 918 of the family's 1533-position model. The record is from RNAcentral.
AUACGUAGGGGGCGAGCGUUGUCCGGAAUGAUUGGGCGUAAAGGGCGCGUAGGCGGCCCGGUAAGUCUGGAGUGAAAGUCCUGUUUUUAAGAUGGGAAUUGCUUUGGAUACUGUCGGGCUUGAGUGCAGGAGAGGUAAGUGGAAUUCCCAGUGUAGCGGUGAAAUGCGUAGAGAUUGGGAGGAACACCAGUGGCGAAGGCGACUUACUGGACUGUAACUGACGCUGAGGCGCGAAAGUGUUGGGAGCAAACAGGAUUAGAUACCCUGGUAGUCCACACUGUAAACGAUGAAUGCUAGGUGUAGGGGGUAUCGACCCCGUCUGUGCCGCAGUCAACACAAUAAGCAUUCCGCCUGGGAAGUACGGCAGCAAGGUUGAAACUCAAAUGAAUUGACGGGG